GGGAAUGUGGCUAAGUGGUAGAGUGCUUGCCUUGCAUGCAUGAGGCCCUGGGUUCGAUUCCUCAGCACCA
This 70-nucleotide transfer RNA is filed under the name Dipodomys ordii (Ord's kangaroo rat). It matches the Rfam family "tRNA". Rfam says of the family: Transfer RNA (tRNA) molecules are approximately 80 nucleotides in length. Their secondary structure includes four short double-helical elements and three loops (D, anti-codon, and T loops). Further hydrogen bonds mediate the characteristic L-shaped molecular structure. tRNAs have two regions of fundamental functional importance: the anti-codon, which is responsible for specific mRNA codon recognition, and the 3' end, to which the tRNAs corresponding amino acid is attached (by aminoacyl-tRNA synthetases). tRNAs cope with the degeneracy of the genetic code in two manners: having more than one tRNA (with a specific anti-codon) for a particular amino acid; and 'wobble' base-pairing, i.e. permitting non-standard base-pairing at the 3rd anti-codon position. The record is from Rfam by way of RNAcentral. Lineage: Eukaryota; Metazoa; Chordata; Mammalia; Rodentia; Heteromyidae.